This 63-nucleotide transfer RNA is filed under the name Cordylochernes scorpioides. Its description in RNAcentral is "tRNA-Gly". Lineage: Eukaryota; Metazoa; Arthropoda; Arachnida; Pseudoscorpiones; Chernetidae. The record is from RNAcentral.
UGCAUCGCCCGGGAAUUGAAGCCCGCGUGGCAGGCGAGCAUUCUACCACUGAACCACCGAUGC